This 254-nucleotide ribosomal RNA is filed under the name uncultured bacterium. Its description in RNAcentral is "partial 16S ribosomal RNA". It matches the Rfam family "Bacterial small subunit ribosomal RNA", at positions 524 to 777 of the family's 1533-position model. The record is from RNAcentral.
GACGAACCACACAAACGUUAUUCGGAAUUACUGGGCUUAAAGGGUGCGUAGGCUGCGCAGAAAGUUGGGUGUGAAAUCCCUCGGCUCAACCGAGGAACUGCGCCCAAUACUACUGUGCUCGAGGGAGACAGAGGUGAGCGGAACUUAGGGUGGAGCGGUGAAAUGCGUUGAUAUCCUAAGGAACACCCGUGGCGAAAGCGGCUCACUGGGUCUCUUCUGACGCUGAGGCACGAAAGCUAGGGUAGCGAACGGGG